AAAUCUCUGAAGUUAAAAAAUGACCUUUCCUUGCAUAAUUUUGGAGGUAACCUAGCUGCGUAAUUAUAUUUGCACUUACAGAAGACUGCAUCAGAGUUCCCUUAUUGGUUUGAAAUUCCAUUAAAUAUAUUGCAAGAGCUCCUAGGUUAAGCUUGAUUUAAAUUUGCAUACAUUUUCAUAUAUUUAGCAGAAAUAAAAGAAGGCUUGCAGCUACCAGAAAGUCAUUAAGGCAUUAGUUUCUCUGAGAAGACAGAUCUGGAGAAAAUUCAAGAAAAUGAAUCUCUUUCUCUAUAUAUAAACAAGGUGGAGUGGAAGACAAUGCCUGCAUUUAUGGUUAACUAUAAGUGAUACACUAGGAAGAUGAUGGUAUUCAGACACACACAAACAAUUUGAUUCAGACAGAUUGGAUACAAGAUUUCAACCAGCAUAAGGAGAACAGGUAAGCAGGCAACAUGGCAAAAGAAAAUGUUAUAGACUUGCUGAAGGAACCCAGCAGGAAAGAGUAUCAGCUCCACAUAGACAAAAAUAACAACUUGGAUCCCAGUGAGAAUGAACAGACCUGAUUUACAAGAUUCUGAUACUUGCUGCUCAUGGCCUUUUAAAAGUACUUUCUAUAAAAUCCUGUGCGGAUGAAAGAUUUUUUCCAUGAAGACAAAGUUCAAAAUACAACAAAAUUCAAAUGUGAUUAUCUGAUGUUUAUUGUAAUAGAAGGGGCAACAUUUACCUGAAUCUCUAUUCCUUGAGCAUCCAAAUCUUCCACUGCAGUGGAAGACUGCAAGAUCAGGCCCUGAGCCAACAUGAAGUAACAUUUUUUACAAGCAAAUAAGGAAGCCAAUGUAACUCUCGACUGUGUGAUAACAUUCAGGAGAUCACGGCAUUUUUCAGUCUUACCCAGCUCUUAUAAAUUAACGUGGAACCAAUGUCUCCAUUUAACCAAAGGUAAACCCUAAAUCUGUGGUGGAAUGAAACACAGCAUUGUAACUCCUGAUGAUAUGUCUGAACUUUGCAUGUGUAAAUAAAUACAGACAGCUAAUGUUAUUUCCUAAUUUU
RNAcentral lists this long non-coding RNA (1050 nucleotides) under Chrysemys picta bellii (western painted turtle). RNAcentral's name for it is "lncRNA (ENSCPBG00000014481.1)". Lineage: Eukaryota; Metazoa; Chordata; Testudines; Emydidae. The record is from RNAcentral.